Molecule: ribosomal RNA, 520 nt
Filed under: uncultured fungus
Lineage: Eukaryota; Fungi
Description: SSU rRNA
Rfam family: Eukaryotic small subunit ribosomal RNA
Source: RNAcentral
UUGUCUCAAAGAUUAAGCCAUGCAUGUCUAAGUAUAAGCAACUUGUACUGUGAAACUGCGAAUGGCUCAUUAAAUCAGUUAUCGUUUAUUUGAUAGUACCUUACUACAUGGAUACCUGUGGUAAUUCUAGAGCUAAUACAUGCUAAAAACCCCGACUUCAGGAAGGGGUGUAUUUAUUAGAUAAAAAACCAACGCCCUUCGGGGCUCCUUGGUGAAUCAUAAUAACUUAACGAAUCGCAUGGCCUUGCGCCGGCGAUGGUUCAUUCAAAUUUCUGCCCUACCAACUUUCGAUGGUAGGAUAGUGGCCUACCAUGGUGGCAACGGGUAACGGGGAAUUAGGGUUCGAUUCCGGAGAGGGAGCCUGAGAAACGGCUACCACAUCCAAGGAAGGCAGCAGGCGCGCAAAUUACCCAAUCCCGAUACGGGGAGGUAGUGACAAUAAAUACUGAUACGGGGCUCUUUUGGGUCUCGUAAUUGGAAUGAGAACAAUUUAAAUCCCUUAACGAGGAACAAUUGGAGG